CCGUGCGACUGCGGAGGACAUUAUUGAAUUAUGAAAGGGGUUGUAGCUGGCCUUUUCGUUUGAGAGGCAUUUUGUGCACGCCCUGAUCAUCAUCCAUUUUUCACACCUGUGCACACUCUGUAGGCUUGGCUGUUUUGGGGCGAGGUCUUUAUUGACUUGGCUCUGAUUGGUCUUGCCUAUGUCUUAUCACAAACUAGUUUGUCAAAAGAAUGUACAAUGUGUGUAACACACUUAUAUACAACUUUCAGCAACGGAUCUCUUGGCUCUCGCAUCGAUGAAGAACGCAGCGAAAUGCGAUAAGUAAUGUGAAUUGCAGAAUUCAGUGAAUCAUCGAAUCUUUGAACGCACCUUGCGCUCCUUGGUAUUCCGAGGAGCAUGCCUGUUUGAGUGUCAUGGAAUCAUCAACUUUAUUUACUUUCGUGAGUAAAGCUUGGAUUUGGAGGUUUAGUGCCGGAUACUUUUCUGUAUUCGGCUCCUCUUAAAUGUAUUAGCUCGAACCUUUUGUGGAUCAGCUUCGGUGUGAUAAUUGUCUACGCCGUUCUGUGAAGCAUAUGUUUUCGGCUUCCAAUUGUCCUCAAUGAGACAACUUGACCUUUUGACCUCAAAUCAGGUAGGAUUACCCGCUGAACUUAAGCAUAUCAAA
Molecule: ribosomal RNA, 643 nt
Rfam family: 5.8S ribosomal RNA (bases 240-393)